RNAcentral lists this long non-coding RNA (6781 nucleotides) under Homo sapiens (human). Its description in RNAcentral is "HSALNT0159964". The record is from RNAcentral. Lineage: Eukaryota; Metazoa; Chordata; Mammalia; Primates; Hominidae.
CAGGCUGAAAGGCAGUGGUGUGAUCAUGGCUUACUGCAGCCUCAACCUCCCAGGCUCAAGCUAUCCCCCUUGCUUCAGCCUCCCAAAUAGCUGGUACAGCAGGUGAGCCUCACCACACCCAGCUAUUUUUUUUAUUUAUUUUUAGUUUUUUAGCAAUGGGGUCUCACUACAUUGCCCAGGCUCAUCUCAAACUCCUGGCCUCAAAUGAUCCUCCUGUCUCAUACUCCCAAAGUGCUGGGUUUACAAGUAUGAGUCACUGCACCCAGCCCCAAUUUUCAAAAUAAUCAUUUGGUUAUCUAAUAGCCUCAAAAGUGAGCCAAUAAAGGUUUUCUUUCUAUUAUGAACUAAUGGACUUAAACAUAUUUAAAGUGAUUCACUAUAUUGUCGAUACUAUUCUUAUUGAUCCUCAACUUUUCCCAUUUUUAGUCACUGUGAGCCCUUGCAAGUUGGAUCCUGAGUUCUUUUGACACGAUUCUAGUUAAGUGGUUGUUUUGUUUGAGACAGGGUCUCACUCUUGCCCAGGCUGGAGUGCAAUGGUACAAUAGCUCACUGCAGCCUUGAACUCCUGGGCUCGUGCAAUCCUCUUACAUAGCUGGAACUACAGGCAUGAGCUGCCAUGCCCACUAUUCUUUUUUUUUUUUUUUUAAUUUUGUAGACAUGGGGUCUUUCUCUGUUGCCCAGGCUGGUUUCACACUUCUGACCUCAAGCAAUCUGCCCUCCUCAGCCUGUAACCCUUAAAGCACUGGAAUCACAGGCAUGAGCCACCCCAACUGGCCUUAGUCAGGUAAACCAUGUGAGAUCUCCCCAUCUAGGAAGUCUGUCCAUCCCAAUAAUGUCCUCAGGGACCAGCAAAAUGACCACCGGGUGAGUCCCAUGAACUCAAUGGCUCUCUUGUGGGAUGAAUCUGGAGGAGGUUCAUGUGCCUCUGUGCACCUGCACUAGGAAAGAGGGGCCAUGAUGCUUUUUAGGUUCCACUUGUAGGAGCAAUGACUAACACCCUUCCAGAGGACUAUGCUCCUCAGAAAACAACUGCAAAACCUGGACUCAAUACAAAAGCAACUCUGAAGUACUGAGUGAACAGAAGCAGACAGUCUCUAGUGAAAAGUGUGAGCUGGCAUGAAGAAAGGAUGAUGGGGAGCUGAACAAAUUGGUUCUCAUCUGUCCAGACUUUAGCCUGAGGCUAAGUGAAUUCCAUGUGGUGCACACAGUGGAAGUGGGGGUGCAAACAUGGAAAAAACCUGCAGCAUUUGUGGUCUGAGAAGCCAGAAAAGUGAAGCCAAGAAAUUGUGAACAUUGAAAAGAGAGGGGAAAAGUUUACAAGGGAAAGGCAAGAGAGGGGAUCCCCACAUUUUGUGUGUCCACGUUUCUGACUGACUCCUGAACUAUGUACCAUGGAACAGACAAGCCUUCACCAGACGCCAAAACUGCCAGUGCCUCAAUCAUGGACUUCCCAGCCUCCAGAACAGUGAGAAAAUACAUUUUUGUUCUUUAUAAGUUCCUCAGUCUUCGUUAUUUUGUUAUAGCAGCACAACAACAAAAGACAAAAGCCAGAGAUAGCACGCAAAACUUGUAAGCAGCAAGAGGAAAAUGACAGAUUGUACCGGGGAGCAACAAUCCUAGUAACAUCCAACUUUUCUUCAAAAAUCAUGGAAGGCAGAAGAGAGUGGAGCAAAAAACCUGUCAACCCAAGAUUCUAUAACCAAUGAAAAUAACAUUCAAGAAUAGGCCAGGCAUGGUGGCUCAUGCCUGUAAUCCUAGGACUUUGGGAGGCCAAGGCAGAUGGAUCGCCUGAACCCAGGAGUUUGAGACCAACCGGGGCAACAUAGAAAGAUCUCAUAUCUACAAAAAAUAGAAAAUGUAGCCACGUGUGGUGGUGCAUACCUGUAGUCCCAGCUACUUGCGAGGCUGAAGUGGGAGAGGAUCACUUGAGUUUGGGAGAUUGAGGCUGCAGUGAGCUGUGAUCACACCAGCGCACUCCAGCCUGGGUGACAGAGUAAGACCCUGUCUCAAAAAAAACGAACAAACAGACAUUUUCAUUUAAAAGAAAAGUUACAGAAUUAGUUACCAGCAAACCUGCACUGUAGGAAAUACUAAAGAAAGUCAUUCAGUCUGGAGAAAAACCAUAUAGAAACUUGGAUUCUCUGAAAAUAAUAAAAAGCAUGAGUAAUGGCAAGUACCUGGCUAAACACAAGUUUUUUUUCUUUUUGCCUUUUACCUCUUAAUUAUUUUAAUAAACCACAUUUAAAAAAUUAUAACAUGGUCUUUUGGGGUUUGUAAUGUUAUAGAUGACUACAUAUAAAAACCAUAAAAUAGAAAGGAACAUGGACUGAUAGGAUUGCAAGAUUUCUAUAUUUUAUGUGAAGUAGUGAAGUAAUCAUUAUAAGCACCCAGUGAAAAGUUGUGUGUGUGUGUGUGUGUGUGUGUGUGGUGUGUGUAUUCCUUCCACAACCACUAAAAAAAAUUAAGAAGUCUAGCUAAAUGAAAACAGGAAAAUUAAAAAGGAAUUCUGAAAAAUAUUCAAAGAAUUCAAAAAGAAAAAUCACAAAAGAAGGAACAAAGGCAAAACAACAGAAGAGACAAAAAUAAAAAAUAAGACAGAUCCCAAAUGCAAGCAUGUGAAUGGUUGCAGCAAGUGUUGAUGAACUAAACAAUGCAAUUAAAAGGCAGAGAUUGUCAAAAUGGACCAAAAAAAAAACAAGACCCAACUAUAUGUUUAUUAGAGAAGAACCAGCAAAUAUAUUGACAAAUAUGUUGAAAGAAAAUGGGUGGAAAAAUACACCAUGCAAACAGUAGACAUCAAAAGGCUAGACUGGCUAGACUGAUAUCAGACAAAAUAUACUUAAGCCAAAAUGUACACUGCAUAUUUUUAAGUGGAGAAUUUUAUAUUAUAUGAAAUUUUAUGUUCUGUCAAUUAUAUCACAAUAAGAAAUGUAUUAUCAUAUAAUUUCAUUACUCCAUAAUGAUAAAAGUCUUAUUGUCAAGGACAACACAACAGUCGAAAUUUGUAUGCAUCCAAUAUAUGAAGCAAAAAUACAUGAAGCAAGUAACUGACAGAAUGAAAGUGCAGAAGAGAUAGUUCCACAAACAUCACUGCAAAUAUUAACAUCUCUACCUAGCAGCUACUAGAACAAUUAGACCAGAAAAUGAGUAAAGACAUAGAAGUUUUGAACAAUAUUAUCAACCAACUUGACUUGAUAUUUAUAGAACACUUCACCAAAAAUGGCAGAAUACACAUUAUUUUCAAGUGCACCUGGUGUGUUUGUCAAGAUAGGCCAUAUUUUGGGCCACAAAACACAACUCAAUAAAUUUGAAUAGUUUAAAAUCACGCAGGCUAUGUUCUCUGUCCACAAAGGAUUAAACUGGAAUUCAAUAAUAAUGAGAUAACCAGGAAAAUUUCAAAUAUCUGGACUUCAACAUACUUCUGAAUAAUCACUAGAUCAAAGAAGAGUCACAAGUAAUAUUAGAAAAUAUGUUGAUAAUAUAUCAUAUACCUAUGAUAAUGAAAGCAUAUCAAAAUUUGUGGGAUGUAGGGUAAAACAGAACAUAUAGGGAAAUAUGUAGCUUUAAUGCCUACAUGGGAAAAGAAGCAAAGUCUAAAAAUAAAGCUCAGUGAUCUAAGCUUCCACCUUAAGAAAUUAUAAAAAUAAGUCCAAGUUAUGCUCAAAGUAAACAAAAGGAAGGAAAGGAUAAAGGGUAAAAAUCAAUAAAAUAGAAAAGAUAAAUGGCGUGAACCCGGGAGGCGUAGCUUGCAGUGAGCCGAGAUCGUGCCACUGCACUCCAGCCUGGGCGACAGAGUGAGUCUCCAUCUCAAAAAAAAAAAAAAAAAAAAAGAAGUAGAGAAAAAUCAAUAAAACCAAAAGCCACGUUUUUGAAAUAAAUUCAAUAAAACCGACCAGCUGUAGCCAGACUAGUGAAGAAAACAGAGGAGACAAAUCCCCAUUAGGAAUGAAAGAAGGGGUUUUUCUACACGUCCUUCAGACAUGAAAAGAAUAAGAAGGGCAUACUGUGAACAAUUCCAUGCUGAUAAGCUUGACGAUCUAGAUAAAAUACUACUUAAAAAGCAAAUUUUUUUUUUUUUUUUUUUUUUUUUGAGACGGAGUCUUGCUCUUGUCGCUCAGGCUGGAGUGUAGUGGUGCGAUCUCGGCUCACCACAAGCUCCGCCACCCGGGUUCAUGCCAUUCUCCUGCCUCAGCCUCCCGAGUAGCUAGGAUUACAGGCACCCGCCACCACGCCCGGCUAAUUUUUUUGUAUUUUUAGUAGAGACGGGUUUUCACUGUGUUAGCCAGGAUGGUCUCGAUCUCCUGACCUCGUGAUCCGCCUGCCUCGGCCUCCCAAAGUGAUGGGAUUACAGGCGUGAGCCACCUUGCCCGGCUUAAAAAGCAAAUUUACCAAAACUGCCUCAAGAAAAUUUGGCAGCCCUAUUUAAAUUAAUAAUAAAAACUUUCCCACAUAGAAAACUCCAGAUCUAGAUCACUUCACUGGGGAAUUCCACCAGUUAUUUAAGGAAGAAAUGACGCCAAUCUUACACCAACGUUUUCAAAAUAUAAAAGAGGAGGGAGCAUUUCCCAGAUCGUUUUAUGGGGCUAACAUUACCUUUAUUAGAAAAUCAAAUACAUCACAAGAUAAUAGAACUGCAGAGCAAUAUUACUCAUGAGCAUAGAAACAAAAAGUUCCUAACAAAAUAUAGCAAAUAAGAACCAAUAACAUGUAAAAAGAAUACUAUCUAUCAUAUCCAAGUGGGGUUUAUCUCAGAAUGCAAGGUUGGCUUAACAUCAGAAAAUCAAUCAAUAUAAUCUACUCUAUGAAUAGAAAACAGAAAAAGAACCAUAUAAUUAUUUAAAUGGAUGCAGAAAAAACAUUUGAUAAAAAUCAACACUCUUUCAUCACUAAAUCUCUCAACAACUAGGAAUAGAAGUCUUCCUCAUCCAAUUAAGGUUAUAAAAAAAAUCUACAGCUAACAUCAAACUCAAUGGUGAAGAUUUAAUGUUUUCUACCUAAAAUCACAAACAAAGCAAAGCAGGCAUAUCCACUCUCACUAUUUGCAUUUAAAUUUGUAUUGUAAGACCCAGAUAGUGAAUAAGGCAAGAAAAAGAAAAAGGCAAAUUGGAAAGAAGAAGUAAAACUGUCCUAUUUGCAGACAUGAUUUUGUAUGUACAAAGCUCUAAGAAAUCCAGAAAAAAGUUACAAGGAUUAAUAUAAGUCAAUUUAGUAAAGUUGCAGGAUACAUGUUCAAAACACAAAAAUUAAUUGUAUUUCUAUAUAUAGUGAAAGAAUAGAAAAUAAAAAUGUAAAUAACAAUUCAAUUUAUGACAGUAUUAAGAAAAUUAAAAUAUUUUGGCAUUAAUUUAACAAAAUAUGUGCAAGACCCACAUAGUAAAAACAACAAAAUAUUUAAAGAAAAACUAAAGCAUACUUAAAUAAACAGAGAAACAUACCAGGCUGGUGGACUGGGACACUCAAUAUUUUUAAGAUGCCAGUUCUCCCCAGAUUGAUAUAUCAAUGCAAUACCAAUCAAAAUUCCAGCAAGACUUUUUGUAGAAAUUUCCAAGCAAAUUCUAAAAUUUAUAUGGAAAUGCACAUGUUUUGGUUAUGUUUUUCCAAUUGUGUUCUUUUUUCAAAAUUGUUUUAGCAUAAAACAACUAGCCAAGACUUGCUAUAAACCUAUAAUUUCAAUACAGUGUGGUAUAAAUGCCAUAAGAUUUUCAAGACUUGCUAUAAACCUAUAAUAAUGUCAAGACUUGCUAUAAACCUAUAAUAAUCAAUACAGUGUGGUAUAAAUGCCAUAGGAAUAGAUAUAUCAAUGGAACAGAAUAGAGAGUCCAGAAAUAGACCCAUGCUAAUAUGGAAAUUAAUUUUUUUGAAAAAUGUCAAGGAAAUUCAAGGAAGUCUUCAGUAAACAGUGCUGGGAUAAUUGGCUAUCUGUAGAGGAAAAAAUUCUAAUUCCCCAAAUUAGAACUCUAUACUCAGGGAAAAUAUUCCUCAGAAUGAAAGGAGAAUAAAUACGUUUCCUCACCAACAAAAACUGAAAAAAAAUCAUCACUAGGAAAUAUGAACUAAUGGGAAAAAUAAAAGAAGUUCGGCCAGGCAGAAGAAAAAUAAUCACACAGGGAAACACAGAAUUGCAGGAAGAAAUAAAAGAGCAACAAAAGAGGCAAAUAUGUAGGUAAAUAUAAAUGAGUAUCAACCACAUAUACUAAAAACAUAUAUUAUUAUAUAUUAGUAUGUUAUAUAUUAGUGUAUAUUUAUUAGUAUACAUAUUAGUGUAUAUUAUAUAUUUUAUACUGAUUCAUUAUAUACUAAUUAUUAGUAUAUAUUCGUACAUAUUUUAGUAUAUUAUUAUAAUGGUUUGGGGGCUUUAAAGUGUGUGUGAAAUGAAAUACAUGAGAAUAGUAAAACAAAAUGUGAGAGGAUGUUAAUAAAGUGUUCUAAGGCUAACAUUCCUGGAGAACUCAAAAUAAGUAAUAAUUUACAUAUGAUGGUAACAAGUAAGGAAGCAUGUUGUAAUUUCCAUGGUUGCUACUAAAAGAAAUGUAAAAUAAUAUAUAACAAGUUCAUAAAGAGAAAAAAAGUAUAAACAAGUUUCCUUUUUGCCCAUAAAGUCACAAAGAGAAUGAUUUAUAUACUUUCAGUAACAAAUUAUUCAAGACUCUUGAUUUGUGAAAUACUUGAGUUGCUAUUAGUCUUGGUAUAACCAAAUGCCUGCUACCAUGUGAGCCAAUUCUUAUUUGUCAUUUUUAAUUUAGAGGUUUUUUGUUUUUUGGUUUUUGUUUUUGUUUUUUUU